UUUUUUUUUUUUUUUUUUGAUUGGAAAAUGCAUGAGAUUGCUGUAUUUCUCCAUAUUUAUUCCUCUAACCUUUUGCACCAGACUUUUCAGAAGUAUGUGUUAAAAUGCAGAGUCCUGGACCUAACCCCACAGGACUAAAUCCGAACCUUUAAAGGUGGGUCCAGCCAUUGCCAUUUUUACCAGCUCCCUGUUGUUUGUGGCGAGCUCCGCAGUUAGAAGCCAGUGGAUGGCUGCUAAAGGUCAGAGUCUCAGAGAUCUUGGAUUCGUCACUCCACCAUUUAAAGCUGCUGAGAUAUUUGUAUCUGGAAAUAGGGAUGAUGGUACCUGGAGGUGUUGAGGAUCCUGUGAACUCUGUGGAAACUAAUUAGUGCUGUGCCUGGUCUACAGCAGGUGCUCAAGAAAUGCUGUGGGUGGCGGGGUUAUCAUUGCACCCAAACGAUACAGAAGCUGCUGGGACUCACAGUCCCCCAAAACAGGGAUGUAAGAAUGUUACCAGAAAAAUAUCGUGGGAGAGUCAUGAAGUGCACACCAAACCCUCAGCCUCAGCCUUUAUUUUUACGAAGAAAGUGUUACUGCCACAUAGCCACCCUGGUGAAUCACUGUUUGUGGCUGCUUUGGACUCUUUGGCCCACACAGCCAAAAAUACUUACUUUCUGGCCCUUGACUGGUGGAGUUAGUUGCUUCCCCCGCCACAUGAAUGUGGUUCAUAUGGAAAGCUUUGUUUAUGUUAACCAGUGAUACAGAAGCAGUCAGGCCUUGGUCUUUGGAGAGUGCUGGUCCCGGUAGCCCUUGUUCCUGUCUGGGCCCUAGUGCUCCUGCCACUCGUGCUGUUUAAUGUCUUUAAGUGGUGCCAGCCCUUCUUGGUGCCAGCAUCUUCUCACUCCACCUAAAAAGCAGUGACAGGGCCCUGUACCAUUUUAACAUCUGGGAAGCUGACUGCCUGAGUACUUGAAAGACUCCCAGGACUCAGGUGUUACAGGCCCCACAGUAGCAACCUGGGAAGGGGAACCAGUUUGUAGAGAACAUGCAGACAAUCAUGUGCCCUCAGGGCCUCCUCAUUGCCAAGUUUGAAUUUAUACUGAGUUCUGGGAAGAUGUUCAUCCUGCAUCUCCUACUCCUUCUAACGUGAGAAACCACAACCAGUCCCAACUCUCAGACCAGAAAAAAGAAUCCACCUUGACGUAAUAUUUUAGGAGGAUCUUAUAAACAAUUUCCAUUUCAUUCUCUAAACCUAAAACUCUAAGUGGAGUUAGGAUGGUGGAAAUAUGUGGUAGCAUUUCACAAAUUAAAGUCACCUCCUAGACCUCUGUCAACAAGUAUUGUAUCAUUCUCAUGAGGACAAGCAGCAAUUACUUUUUUUUUUUUUUUUUUCUUUAUAGGGCAGUAGCCGCGACAUAUGGAGGUUCCCAGGCUAGGAGUUUAAUUGGAGCUGUAGCCGCCGGCCUACACCACGGCCACAGCAACACCAGAUCCAAGCCUCAUCUGGGACCUACCUCAUAGCUCAUGGCAACACCGGAUCCUUAACCCUCUGAGCGAGGCCAGGGAUUGAAUUCACAACCUCAUGGUUCCUAGUCGGAUUUGUUUCUGCUGCGUCACAGCAGGAACUCCAAGCAGCAAUUAACUUUUAACAUUUUGAUAACUUCCAAGCAUUUUAAUAAGAGGAAUAUUCAUUUUUGCAAAAAUACGAGUUCUGUCCUUCUUGUAGGGGCUCUAAUGUUGUCAUGGGCUUUAGUUGGGAGAGCAACUGCACUAUAUUCAUCUCUCAGCAGAAUUUCACAUGCCCCUUGGGGCAGAUGAUGUAUGUGUUCCUUAAAAUAAAACAUAUUUAUAAUCCUCAGUAAAAAUGUUUGGCGAGAUCAUGAAAUUUGAAUGCCAUUCUGUGUUCAUGUGUGUUUGAUUGUAGGUGCUUUCCUCUUAUUUCUUCUUCUUUGGUGUUUUAUGUCUUUCUCUGGGUGUGUACCUCAUUCCCAUUCUUCUUUUCUUGCUCCCUUAAAAUAAACGAGUCACGGUGUGUGGUGGACGCCUUGGGUCUUGCUCCUUUAAGGAGUCAUGAUAUGUGGUGAACCCCUUGCAUCUUGUUCCUUUAAUGAGUUAUCAUACGUGGUGGAUCCCUUGUGUCUUAUUACUUUAAUGAGUCAUGAUAUGUAGUGGAUCCCUUGGGUCCGGUGUUUAUGCAGUAUAACUAGCAUACAUUAAAUGUUUCCUUAAAAAAAACCAAAAAACAACUUCCUGCCAAACUAUAAUUAAAAGUCUUUUUAUAUGUCUUUUGAUUAAUAUUUUUAUUAGCUCUCUGACUCUCCAAUAAGGAGAGAAAAGGCUCCCGUCCCCUGUUUUCUUGGCCUCUUUGUGUUGUUGGCUCAGAGUGUUGUGGAUUGUUUGAUGGAGUUGAUAAAAAUUCUCCUGAUGUUUCCUGCUCGCUCUAAAUUUGGAAUACACCUACAGUAUUCUUUUAGGCUUUAUUGUUUCCUAAACCAUCUAUUUAAAUACAGUCCUAAAGCUUAAACGGAACACUGUUAUUGUGGCUAAGAAUAAUGUGUGUAAUGGGGCAGUAGAUUAGAUUUCAUUACCAUUCUCAUAACCAUGCAAAAGCCUGUGUUCCCACAAAGCACUCAAUAACCUUAUUAAGUGUUGCCAGUACCAAUGGUAAAUGUAUAAUGUUCACUUGUAGUGACUUGUAAGUGGAGUAGGGGGAAGAACUUGACCUUUAAAUCCAGUGGCUCUCUAAAGUCCUCAUGUUUGAGGCAGAGGCAUCAAGGGGAAAUCUGUUGCCCAUCACUGAGCAGAACAGUGUUAUCUGAUGCAUGGUUUUGAUGCAUCCGAAGCAGAGCAAGGAGCUUUCGUCUAUUACGUUGAGACUUCUAGGACUUGAGGAUGUUCGUAGCCCAUUUACAGGGAGUGGUUGAUUUGAUGCUCAUUUCAUUUUCCUUUUAUUGUUUAACCGAAAAUCUCUGUAUCUGUUUCAUAAGUCUGGAUUUUUAUUGGCUUAUGAGACAUAAGGUCAGAUUCAUCAAGUGAAUUGCGUACGAAUUGUUUUUUAAUGGUGAACCUUCCAUCCUUGUUCUCUGACAUUAAAAUGCAUGAUUUUGCCAUUUGAAUGAUUCUGUUACACUUUAUGAUCCUGUGCUUAUUAUGUUCUUGCUUUUCCUCAGUCUAAAAUCCCCAUCUGCUCCUUCCUCCCCACUAUAUACCCUCUUCUAACUGUUCCAACUCUCAAAACCUGAUUCCUAGUUCAUGUGCCAUCUGCUUCGAGAAGCUGCCCUGCUUUCCAGAGUCAAAAUGAAUGAAUUCUUUUGGAGUUUCCUGGUGGCCUAGCAGUUAAGGAUCCAGCAUUGUCCCUGCUAUGGCUUGAGGUUAACCCCUGGCCCGGGGAACUUCUGCAUGCUGCAGACUCAGCAGCCCCUCCCCCAAAAAGUGAGCGAAUUCUCUCUCUCUCUCUCUUUUUUUUUUUUUUUUUUUGCAUUUUAAUUUCUCUACUCCUAGAGACAUUUGCCUAGACAUCUAUUUCACAGUUAUUUCAUUAGUUUUCAAUGAUAGGUAUCAUAUAUCAGGCUGAACCAUAUGAAAUUACCAUUAUUCAACUAUUUUCGAGCUACAAAACAUAUCAAAUUAAUAGGGUUGAACCUAAUACUUAUUUCAACAUUCACUGCACAAACUUUUGAAAAUAAACGAUGGUCCAAGUUAUUUAAAACACAUCUUGGACUUGGGUUUAUAUAUCUCUCUAGAGCACUUCCUGAGUUUUAUAUGUGACAGAUGUAUUCAAGAAAUGUUUGGAGUUCCCGUCGUGGUGCAGUGGUUAAUGAAUCUGACGAGGAACCAUGAGGUUGUGGGUUCGAUCCCUGCCCUUGCUUAGUGGGUUAAGGAUCCGGUGUUGCCGUGAGCUGUCGUGUANNNNNNNNNNNUCGGAUCCUGCGUGGCUGUGGCUCUGGCAUAGCCCGGUGGCUACAGCUCCGAUGGGACCCCCAGCCUGGGAACCUCCAUAUGCUGCAGGAGUGGCCCUAGAAAAGGCAAAAAGACAAAAAAAAAGAAACGUUUGUUGGAGUUCCCCCUGUGGCACAGUUAAGAAUCCCACUGCAGUUUCUCGUGUCACAGCAGAGGUGUGGGUUUGAUUCCGGCCCUACACAGGGCGUUAAAGGGUCCCUUAUUGCCAUAGCUGUGGCUCAGACUCAGGCCAUGGCCCAGAACUUCCAUAAGUUGCAGGUAUGGGCAUUAAAAAAAAGCAUUUGUUGAAGUGGAAUCAGUUGUACUAUCUAAGUGAUCACAGCUGUUUUUAUAAAGAAAUGAGACCAAUUGUGUGAGCUGUGAGCUGUACCCUUUUAAAGCCAAGAUUACGUAGGAAUCCAUUGUAUCCUUUGAUGCACAUUCUCCAAACCAUUUCAACAUCGUCGGACACCUAAAAUUUAACUUCCUGUCUUGGUCACUGUUACUUAUGCUUUAGUUUUAUAUGGUUACCUUUUUAAAAAAAUUUUUUAAUUUUUUGCUUUUUAGGGCCACACCCACAGCACAUAGAGGUUCUGAGGCUUGGGGUCCUAUUGUAGCUACAGCUAUCAGCCACAGCAAUGCCAGAUCCCAUCCGAAUCUGCGAGCUAUACCACAGCUCACCACAAUGCUGGAUCCUUAACCCACUGAGCGAGGCCAGGGAUUGAACCCACAUCCUCGUGGAUCCUAGUUGGGUGCAUAAACUGCCGAGCCACCGUGGGAACUGCUUUAUAUGGUUACCUUUAUUGAAAUCAAUUUCUUCUUUUUGCCCAGAUGUCUUAUUUUGCUUGAGUUACUGCAAAAAUCAUAAUUCUUUUAUUUACUAGUGUUCCUCUCUCUCAAAAUUUUUUACCCACCUCACUCUUGGCUGAAGGUCUGUCAACGUCCCCCUGCCUCAGAAAAUACUCCCUGGCUUGCUUUAUUUAGUCAUGGAAAAAAAAAAAAA
RNAcentral lists this long non-coding RNA (4921 nucleotides) under Sus scrofa (pig). RNAcentral's name for it is "lncRNA (ENSSSCG00005020992.1)". Lineage: Eukaryota; Metazoa; Chordata; Mammalia; Artiodactyla; Suidae. The record is from RNAcentral.